GUGGACACUGCUGGUUGGUUCCAUUUCUGUCUUAGAGUACUGAAAAAGUUGUAGCCACUAUUCUUAGAUAAUUGUUUCAUAGCAGUAAUUAUGAAGAAAAGUUUUUCUAACACAUCUCCAAAGCUGCUCUAUAGAGCUGUCACAAACAGGAUUUAGAUAUAAAGUUUAAACUCACAAUAGCCCAGCCCUUUAAGCAAACCAACGUGUAAUAUUAUCACUACUAGGUGAGCUACAAAGAACUUGUUUCUUUUGAAUUAGAAAUAUCAAUGGAAAGCAUCCCUGCUUCCUUAUUAAUAGGUAAUCCCAAAGCAUUAAAUGCAAACAUUAUCAGGACAUAAACCAUCUGUUAGAAGAAAAACAUUUUAUUUUAUUUGGCUAUCAUGGUCUUUUAUAACAAAGUUUUUAUCUCAGUUUUCCAGAUAGUAGUUCUGAAAUAGAAAGUUCAUAAUAAUAUACUUCUUCAUGGUAUGCUCUUCUUUCAGA
This 483-nucleotide long non-coding RNA is filed under the name Bos taurus (domestic cattle). RNAcentral's name for it is "long non-coding RNA NONBTAT018413". Lineage: Eukaryota; Metazoa; Chordata; Mammalia; Artiodactyla; Bovidae. The record is from RNAcentral.